Sapajus apella (tufted capuchin) is the source of this 102-nucleotide long non-coding RNA. RefSeq lists it as uncharacterized. The transcript is spliced from 3 exons. Lineage: Eukaryota; Metazoa; Chordata; Mammalia; Primates; Cebidae. The record is from RefSeq and is a predicted model, not a curated record.
AAAUUUACUUUUAAUGGGGCUCUCGGAGUGACGUUAAACUCACACAAUUUUGGCACUAUCCUUCCCAUUCACUCGGAAUGAGCAUGAGGUAUGAAGAGCCCU